Molecule: long non-coding RNA, 1386 nt
Organism: Bactrocera neohumeralis
Lineage: Eukaryota; Metazoa; Arthropoda; Insecta; Diptera; Tephritidae
Exons: 2
Source: RefSeq, a predicted model, not a curated record
CUGUCGAGUUGCCCCAUAAAGAGCAUAACGAAAAAAAAGCUAAAUCUCAAGUUCGUAUUUCUUUGCGAAUUCAUGCACAGUGUACUGAACAACAUCAAUUAUGCAUCAAAAAUUUUACAAAAGUACGAUAUCAAUUUGGGCGAGGCGAGUAAAUUUUUAGCAGAGACCAAAGAAAAGUUGCGAAUUUAAAGAUAUGAUUUCGAUUUACUUAAGUGCAAAGCCAGUGAAACUGCAAGAAAACAUGGUAUUGAUACCCACUUCCAAGAACAAAGGCAAAGAAAAGUUAAAAAAACAUUUUGAUGAAUUAGCUGCUAAUCACCGAUAUCCAAUCAGAGAAAAAAUAUUUAAAAUUGGGAUUUUCAGAAAUGUACUUGACACAGUAAUAUCUCAAUUAGCUACAUGUUUUAUUUGUAAGAGUGCAGUCUGUUAUUUAUUGGAUUUUCUAACACCAACAUUAUUACAUAUUGAUGAAGCGACUUUAUAACAAAAGUGUGACGCAUUCCUAGUUUUACCUCAAUAACUCAAGCAUGGACUGUUCACCAUUUAUCAAUGUUUUUAUUCUUGAAAUUUCCUGUCACUUCUGCAGCAGCUGAAAGGUCAUUAGCAAAUUAAAAUUGUUCAAAAUUGAACAUGUUCGCUGCUACCAAAGGACGGAUAACAACAUUAUAUUUAACCUUUUAUAUAUUUCACAAAUGUUAAAUAAGAUUAGGAAUAAUUCUUACUAUUGUAAUACUUUAUACAGUCCACUUAAAUUAGAUAAUGCAGAGGCAAUACGAAACAUACUUAAAUAUACAUGCAUUUAUAUGCAAAACACAUACAUAUGUAUAUGAGCCACGUAUGCAUUUAUAUGCAAUACCCAUGCACUUAAGAAAUAUAAUAGGGUAAUCAUAAUCCGGUGCAAAUGGUCUUGCAAAUGCAAGUUUCGGUGCAAGUGCAAAAUAUUUUUGCACCAUGUUCUCAAACAAAAACAAAUUACAUGUGUUUUGCAGAUGCAACACUGUUAUGCAAAUGCUACACUCAACCUCUAUUGUAUAUGUGCAAAUUAGUAUUGUAUUUCAAACAGCUGAUUUCUUUUGCAUACAUAAAUGCUUAUUUAUUUACUUUUAUUAGGCUCGAACAGGCUUGCAAUUCUGACAGCUAAGCAAUUCUGUUUUGGAUUCCACAACACCCCUGAUAAACAUAUUUGCUUAGGUUUGGGCAAUUGAUUACAAUUGCACUUGUGCACUUGAAAACAGCCCAAACCAUGCAACAUAAAUUAUAUGACAACAUACACACACAUGUAUUGUAUUGUAUAGUUGAAAGCAACCCCAUGUGGUGUGCCGUGCAUAUACAUAGGUUUACAAUUUACAAAUAAAAUUGGAAUGAAAUAUUUCUCAGUUUGAAUAA